Molecule: ribosomal RNA, 237 nt
Filed under: uncultured bacterium
Lineage: Bacteria
Description: partial 16S ribosomal RNA
Rfam family: Bacterial small subunit ribosomal RNA
Source: RNAcentral
CGAACGGGUGAGUAACGCGUGAGGAACCUGCCUCAAAGAGGGGGGAAACAGUUGGAAACGACUGCUAAUACCGCAUAAGCCCACGGCUCGGCAUCGAGCAGAGGGAAAAGGAGCAAUCCGCUUUGAGAUGGCCUCGCGUCCGAUUAGCUAGUUGGUGAGGUAACGGCCCACCAAGGCGACGAUCGGUAGCCGGACUGAGAGGUUGAACGGCCACAUUGGGACUGAGACACGGCCCAG